ACAGGCCACGGACUAAGCUAAUAAUGUUCUUACAAAAAACCUUAUAAACUAAUAUUUAGCUUUUACUUUUCUAGUGUUGUGUUAAACGUUAAUAAAAGUUCUGUAUUAAAGUGUGACAUGCCGUGUCGAUUGUUAAUCAAAAAUCAAUUCCAUUUUGUCCAGGUAAUUUUCCCUUUGGCUGUCUUCCAAUCUAUCUCACGAACUUCCAGUCGAAUAAAUCAGCUAUACACAACGAAUACCAUUGCUUGAAAGAAUUUAAUGAUUGUUUAUGGCGAUUACUACGAUGCUUUUCUUCCCCUUCUGCGUAACACAUCAUAGCUUGUGUUUCAGGAUUUGAUCCAAAGAAUGUAGAAAAAUCUUCCUGUGGUAUCAGAGGGAAGUAUAACUUUAACCUGAAGAAAAUGUGUGGAGCUGUUGGGGUUCCAAUUUGUGAUCGGCCUGAAAAGUAUAUUAGUUGGGAUGGAAUUUCAUCUUACACAAGAGGCAUACAAAGAUAUUGCUAAAUGGCUCAUCCGGCACAUUAGGUAGGAUUCAUAGCUUAUCAGCACUUAAAAGCACUACCAAACAUACUGUUAGUCACAAAAUUAACAUUACAUUUUCUGAUGUGUAUUACAGCGAAGAUUCAAAAUUGGAGUUAGUUUUAGAUGGAAAAA
Long non-coding RNA from Olea europaea var. sylvestris, 653 nucleotides. RefSeq lists it as uncharacterized. The record is from RefSeq and is a predicted model, not a curated record. The transcript is spliced from 2 exons. Lineage: Eukaryota; Viridiplantae; Streptophyta; Magnoliopsida; Lamiales; Oleaceae.